RNAcentral lists this long non-coding RNA (610 nucleotides) under Gossypium barbadense (sea-island cotton). RNAcentral describes it as "long non-coding RNA (GBAR_LNC006096)". The record is from RNAcentral. Lineage: Eukaryota; Viridiplantae; Streptophyta; Magnoliopsida; Malvales; Malvaceae.
AUCCCAACACACCCAACAGCCGCCCCCACUCCUGCGUUAACCUCUGCCAGAAACUCCCAACAAUCCCUUGUCUCUAUGGUUAUUCUGCCCGAAACUCAUUUAUCUGAGACCUCUCUUCCUCCACCUCAUCCGGAAUCCGACAUCUCUUCUGACAACCCCUUCUCCCCUCUACGUAAUGAUAUCUUCCCCUGCACUGCUUGCGGUGAGGUUUUCCAAAAACCCCAUUUUCUUGAGCAACACCAGGCCACCAAACACGCCGUCUCCCAACUCCUUGAUGGUGAUUCAGGGAAGAACAUAGUCCGGAUCAUUUUCAAAACAGGUUGGACCGACAAAGUUAGGAACCCUGAAAUCCAUCGUAUUUUGAAGAUCCAUAACAGCACAAAGAUUCUAGCGAGGUUCGAAGAAUACAGGGAGCUUGUGAAAGCGAAAGCUGCUAGGAAUGGUGCCGUAGUGGGGAGACGAGACGAGAGGUGCAUAGCCGAUGGGAACGAGCUGUUGAGAUUUUACUGUUCAACAUUCAUGUGUGAUCUGGGACUUAAUGGGAGUUCCGGCAUUUGCAGCCAGCAGUAUUGCAGCGUCUGUGGGAUAAUCAAGUCUGGCUUUUCACCAA